Molecule: ribosomal RNA, 123 nt
Filed under: Gnetum montanum
Lineage: Eukaryota; Viridiplantae; Streptophyta; Gnetopsida; Gnetales; Gnetaceae
Description: 5.8S ribosomal RNA
Rfam family: 5.8S ribosomal RNA
About the family: 5.8S ribosomal RNA (5.8S rRNA) is a component of the large subunit of the eukaryotic ribosome. It is transcribed by RNA polymerase I as part of the 45S precursor that also contains 18S and 28S rRNA. Functionally, it is thought that 5.8S rRNA may be involved in ribosome translocation.
Source: RNAcentral
ACCACGACUCUCGACAAUGGAUAUCUCGGCUCUCGUUUCGAUGAAGAACGUAGCGAAAUGCGAUACUUUGUGUGAAUUGCAGAAUCCCGUGAAUCAUCGAAUAUUUGAACGCAAGUUGCGCCC